GGACUACUGGGGUAUCUAAUCCUGUUUGCUCCCCACGCUGUCGCGCCUCAGCGUCAGCUACUGCCCAGCAGGCCGCCUUCGCCACCGGUGUUCUUCCGGAUCUCUACGCAUUCCACCGCUACACCCGGAAUUCCGCCUGCCUCUACAGUGCUCCAGCCACGGGAGUCUCGCUGGCCGACGCGGAGUUGAGCCCCGCGCUUUCACCACCGACUUCCCGGGCCGCCUACGCGCCCUUUACGCCCAAUGAUUCCGGACAACGCUCGCACCCUCCGUAUUACCGCGGCGGCUGGCAC
Molecule: ribosomal RNA, 293 nt
Filed under: uncultured bacterium
Lineage: Bacteria
Description: partial 16S ribosomal RNA
Source: RNAcentral